CCUACGGGAGGCAGCAGUGGGGAAUCUUGCGCAAUGGGCGAAAGCCUGACGCAGCCAUGCCGCGUGAAUGAUGAAGGUCUUAGGAUUGUAAAAUUCUUUCACCGAGGACGAUAAUGACGGUACUCGGAGAAGAAGCCCCGGCUAACUUCGUGCCAGCAGCCGCGGUAAUACGAAGGGGGCUAGCGUUGCUCGGAAUUACUGGGCGUAAACGGGAGCGUAGGCGGAUAGUUUAGUCAGAGGUGAAAGCCCAGGGCGUCAACCUUGGAAUUGCCUUUGAUACUGGCUAUCUUGAGUACGGAAGAGGUAUGUGGAACUCCGAGUGUAGAGGUGAAAUUCGUAGAUAUUCGGAAGAACACCAGUGGCGAAGGCGACAUACUGGUCCGUUACUGACGCUGAGGCUCGAAAGCGUGGGGAGCAAACAGGAUUAGAUACCCUGGUAGUCCACGCUGUAAACGAUGAGUGCCUAGUUGUCGGC
This 475-nucleotide ribosomal RNA is filed under the name uncultured bacterium. RNAcentral describes it as "bacterial SSU rRNA". It matches the Rfam family "Bacterial small subunit ribosomal RNA", at positions 338 to 827 of the family's 1533-position model. The record is from RNAcentral.